UACGUAGGGAGCGAGCGUUGUCCGGAUUCAUUGGGCGUAAAGAGCUCGUAGGCGGUUUGUUGCGUCGGCUGUGAAAUCCCGAGGCUCAACCUCGGGUCUGCAGUCGAUACGAGCAAACUAGAGUGUUGCAGGGGAGACUGGAAUUCCUGGUGUAGCGGUGAAAUGCGCAGAUAUCAGGAAGAACACCGGUGGCGAAGGCGGGUCUCUGGGCAACAACUGACGCUGAGGAGCGAAAGCGUGGGGAGCGAACAGG
This 253-nucleotide ribosomal RNA is filed under the name uncultured bacterium. Its description in RNAcentral is "partial 16S ribosomal RNA". It matches the Rfam family "Bacterial small subunit ribosomal RNA", at positions 524 to 776 of the family's 1533-position model. The record is from RNAcentral.